RNAcentral lists this ribosomal RNA (254 nucleotides) under uncultured bacterium. RNAcentral's name for it is "partial 16S ribosomal RNA". It matches the Rfam family "Bacterial small subunit ribosomal RNA", at positions 524 to 776 of the family's 1533-position model. The record is from RNAcentral.
UACGGGGGGAGCAAGCGUUGUUCGGAUUUACUGGGCGUAGAGGGCGCGUAGGCGGUCAGCACAAGUCAGUUGUGAAAUCUCCGGGCUUAACCCGGAACGGUCAACUGAUACUGUGCGACUAGAGUGCGGAAGGGGCAACUGGAAUUCUCGGUGUAGCGGUGAAAUGCGUAGAUAUCGAGAGGAACACCUGCGGCGAAGGCGGGUUGCUGGGCCGACACUGACGCUGAUGCGCGAAAGCCAGGGGAGCGAACGGG